CCACAUACUAUCCACGUCCCCCCUACACUCCCAUACCCCCAUUCCCGCCAACUUCUCCCCUAUCUCCCACGCAUUCACUGGCGUCAAGCUGCCCCACUUAAUUCUAAGUCUACACUCCUUACCUCUUCUCUUCCUAUCCUUCUUUAUACCCAAAUCCAUAACCAAGAGCCUAUGCUGGGUCGAAAGAUUCUCACUCGGGAUGACCUUACAGUCCUUACACAACACCCUAUCCC
This 233-nucleotide long non-coding RNA is filed under the name Capsicum annuum. Its description in RNAcentral is "long non-coding RNA (CANN_LNC018841)". Lineage: Eukaryota; Viridiplantae; Streptophyta; Magnoliopsida; Solanales; Solanaceae. The record is from RNAcentral.